Molecule: transfer RNA, 112 nt
Filed under: Candidatus Aenigmatarchaeota archaeon
Lineage: Archaea; Nanobdellati; Candidatus Aenigmatarchaeota
Description: tRNA-Lys
Rfam family: tRNA
About the family: Transfer RNA (tRNA) molecules are approximately 80 nucleotides in length.
Source: RNAcentral
GGGCCCGUAGCUCAGUCUGGUUAGAGCACCGGACUCUUAAUCCGGGUGUCGCGGGUUCGAAUAGCGUUUGAAGCCGACUAGUCGGCUUCCGUCGAAAUUCCCGUCGGGCCCA